UUCCUGAAAUUCUGGAUGGUGGAAAUGCUUGCCCUCUAAAAGCAGAAGUCCCUCUGGGUGCAGACUGAUGCUUCCCUUCAAAUCUGGAGCUGGAGAAGUUUCUUCAUGGAGAAAGGGCCCUCUCCCACCGGCGCCCAGCGCUUUUGACUUUGAAUCACCUCAAGUGGGGAUCCAUCAUCUCUGUUACAAGGCCUCGGAGCGUAGUACCACACACAGACACACACGAAUGCGGACCUAUGAAUGUGCUCAGAAAAAAAACAAACACACACUGUCUCCAUAUGCCUACCAACAACCUCUAUCUCUACCGCUACCCGUCCUGAGCGCUAAGAUGUUGACGGAAGAAGGCGGAGUGGUGAGAUUGCAGCUCCCAUCUUGCUGGAGUCUCUCUUUCUCCGUUGCUGGCUUUGAAGAAGCAAGAAGCCAUGGAGCAGACCCCCAGGUGGUAAGGAAAUGCAGAACGGCCUGAAGAAGCUGAGGACCCCCUCCGUCUGAAAUCCAUCAAAAACACUAAAGCCCACAGUUCUGCAACCACAAGGAGCUGCACUUUGCAACAACCAGAGUGCGAUGAAAAGCAGAUUCUUCCCCAGUUGAGUCUCAGAGACCACAGCCCCAGUCAACACCUUGACUGUAGUCUUGUGAGACCCUAAGCAGAAGACCCAGCCCAGCCGUGCUCAGACUCCUGACCCACAGAAAUUGUGAGAUAACAAUUGUACACUUCUUGUUUUUCAAAGCUACUAAGUUGUGGUAAUAUUGUUAAACAGGAUUAGACAACACUUGAAACUAUGUUCUCUUUUUCUUCCCUCUCUGUCCUAUCAUCCUGUCAAAAACUGAACUACUUCUAUAGUGAGCUGAAUGAAUUUUUCUGCUUAAUCCAUAUCACCUUAGGUCUUAUAGGAAAAUUUGCCAAAACUUCUGGAAUAGGACUUGCUUCCUAUUUAGAAUAAAUUCAAAAGUUAGGUGCAAAGUGAAAAUAAAUUGCAAUGAAAUUGAACUUACGUAGCUAAUCGUAAUCAGUUUUAGGAUUGGGUCUGGUUAUAAAUUAGAUUAUGAUUAUUUGGUUAGAUGAAGGAAGAGGUUCCCACAGAACAGGCAAAAGUGGAGAAUAGGAAGAAUGGAGGCACUUGGCCUCUUUUUGAGAGUUUGCUUCAUGUCAAGUAUGACACAUUCAUGUUAAGUUUACAUGUUAAGACUGACGCAUUUUGAAGUUGAGAGUCUUGAUUGAUACCUGAGGGAAAUUCAGUAGUGCAGUAUUUGCUGGAGAGAGAAUAGCAAUGAUGAGAACCCAUAAAGAUGGAGGAGAAAAAAGAGAGAAAUGGUAGGUGGUUCCAAUUAGGUAAGACAAUGUGAGAAAGAGAUGACUUAGUGGUAGGCAAGUCAGCAAGCCAAGUCAUGGGUAGUGGAGCACAAUGCUCUCUGAGCGCUGUGACACCUUGAAGGCAAAUUCUACCAAAGAGGGGUAAGCACUAAGGGGCACUCCUGCCUUUGCUCAGAUCAGUCGUGUUUCCUGGAAUAUUCUCACCACCUACCACACCAUCCAAGUCCUGGGUGUCCUUCAGACUCAAUCAAACACUAGCACCCUCCUGAUAUCUUCCAUGUAAGUACUUGAUUUCAACCCAAAGACAUUUCCUCAGAUUCUCUUAAAUAAUAAAGAAAUGUCAUUGGCUCAUGUCACUGAAUUGCCUGUAGGUAAACUGGGCUGAUCCAAAGGUAUCAUCAUCAUCACAAGAUCAUCAGGGGACUAGCUAUGUCUUUAAAAAACUUUUUAAAAGUUCUGCUUCCCUCUGGCUUUCCUUGUGGUAAAAAAAGACUUUGUUUCACACCUUUCAGAGGCAGAGAAAUACCUUUAACCUAAAGUUCCAAGCAAGGCCCUGAGCAUCACUCUGAUGGACAUGCUAAGCCUGCGAUGCUCACCACUGAGCCUGCCAUUUUGAUCAGGGGAAUGGAGAGUGCUGACUGGUGGACUCCAACUGCGGCUCUGGGAGGGAACUGGCUCCCCUGGAAGCACAUGAAUUCCCAAAGAGAAGCUGGUGUCCACUCAACCUUUAUUUACACUAGCCCACGCUUGUUUAUCUACCUUGGAAAUAAAAAUUUAAGAAGAACAUUGAAUGAAUGAACGAAUAAGAAAUGGUUUUGGCAAGUUAACAUUGUUCCUAAUUUGAGCCAAUUCAUGAGUAAAGUUAGGAUGUUGGUUUCCAAUUUUGACCAAUAUUUCAUGUGUGGAUUGCAGGCCUUUCCUAAUUAGAGUACAUGACUUUUGGAAGCAAAGAUUACAUAGAGCUACUAGAAUAUUCUCCCUUAAAACAUCGUAACCAACGGAUGCAGGUUAAUUGGACUGAGGCCUUGCGGACCAGCCUCACAAACUUCUGCCAGUUAUUCCCCUCAUUGCUUUAAAAUUUUUAUUAUGAAAAUGAAUCUG
This is a long non-coding RNA of Equus quagga, 2416 nucleotides long. RefSeq lists it as uncharacterized. The record is from RefSeq and is a predicted model, not a curated record. The transcript has 3 exons. NCBI's taxonomy places the organism in Eukaryota, Metazoa, Chordata, Mammalia, Perissodactyla, Equidae.